GACGAACGCUGGCGGCGUGCUUAACACAUGCAAGUCGAACGGAAGGGCCUUUUCGGCGGUACUCGAGUGGCGAACGGGUGCGUAACACGUGGGUGAUCUGCCCUGCACUCUGGGAUAAGCCUGGGAAACUGGGUCUAAUACCGGAUAGGACCGCACUUUAGUGUGUGUGGUGGAAAGUUUUUUCGGUGUAGGAUGGGCCCGCGGCCUAUCAGCUUGUUGGUGGGGUAAUGGCCUACCAAGGCGGCGACGGGUAGCCGGACUGAGGGGUUGGUCGGCAACAUGGGGACUGAGAUAGGGCCAGAACUCCAAGGGGAGGAGGAGGUGGGAAGAAUUGAACAAUGGGCGCAGGCCGAUGCAGCGACGCCGCGUGGGGGAUGACGGCCUUCGGGUUGUAAACUCCGUUCGCCAGGGACGAAGCGUUUUGUGACGGUACCUGGAGAAGAAGCACCGGCUAACUACGUG
This 462-nucleotide ribosomal RNA is filed under the name uncultured bacterium. Its description in RNAcentral is "partial 16S ribosomal RNA". It matches the Rfam family "Bacterial small subunit ribosomal RNA", at positions 28 to 507 of the family's 1533-position model. The record is from RNAcentral.